AGUGAACGCUGGCGGUAGGCCUAACACAUGCAAGUCGAACGGCAGCACAGAGGAGCUUGCUCCUUGGGUGGCGAGUGGCGGACGGGUGAGGAAUACAUCGGAAUCUACUCUGUCGUGGGGGAUAACGUAGGGAAACUUACGCUAAUACCGCAUACGACCUACGGGUGAAAGCAGGGGACCUUCGGGCCUUGCGCGAUUGAAUGAGCCGAUGUCGGAUUAGCUAGUUGGCGGGGUAAAGGCCCACCAAGGCGACGAUCCGUAGCUGGUCUGAGAGGAUGAUCAGCCACACUGGAACUGAGACACGGUCCAGACUCCUACGGGAGGCAGCAGUGGGUAAUAUUGGACAAUGGGCGCAGGCCUGAUCCAGCCAUACCGCGUGGGUGAAGAAGGCCUUCGGGUUGUAAAGCCCUUUUGUUGGGAAAGAAAUCCAGCUGGCUAAUACCCGGUUGGGAUGACGGUACCCAAAGAAUAAGCACCGGCUAACUUCGUGCCAGCCGCCGCAGUAA
This 506-nucleotide ribosomal RNA is filed under the name uncultured bacterium. RNAcentral's name for it is "partial 16S ribosomal RNA". It matches the Rfam family "Bacterial small subunit ribosomal RNA", at positions 29 to 523 of the family's 1533-position model. The record is from RNAcentral.